CGUGCACAGGGCUCCUGUCGCCUCGGGAGCGGCGGACUGGCGGCCUGGGCCGCGGAGGGGCCCCCUGUGCUGCGGGACUGGGGGAAUCGGGAGCAGCCCCAGCGCGGACCUGCGAACUGAGAAAGUAGAACGAAACAGCAUGAAUCUCCCUCUCCCGCCCCGGCUCUGGGUAGCCUAGGCGAGGGGCGCAGAAGAUGGAGACAAGAUUCGACCAUCUUCCCUGAGCAGAGAGGGACCCGUGCGCCAGCCAAUCAGAGCGCGGCUCGGCCGCUCCCCGCCGCCGCCGCCGCACCCUCGGGGAGAGUGAAGUUCCCGCAACUGGCCCGCCCGAAGGAUCCGUGUCUUUCUUGUGCUCACAGCCCAGCGGAGGCAGAGAGAGCGCCAACCAAACUUUAUUAAUCUCUCCCCGUUCUUUCUCUCUCAGCCCAGUGCAUCUCAAAGGUCAGCCCUCUUCUUUUAAAAGACUGAUAUCAUUAAUUCACUGACAAUCCCUCCACCCCCACCCCAUUCUUUUUUUCUCUCUUGCAGGAAAAAGAAACGAGGGGGGGGGGAAAUAGUGAAAAGAGGGUUUUUUUUAUCCUUUUUUUUUUGUCCUUCAGUGGGAGCGUUUAGACAGUCGAGGAGGUUUUGUCCAGGAACAAAACGCAGGGUUGGGAGGUUUUGUGAGAGCGUUGUUUGUUGAAGUGGAGCUAAGAAAAAGCGGCGGCUUUCUCCUCAUUGUGAAGAAACCAAUCAGUGGUAUUUGGAAAACUGUUAGCAUUGUGCACUUCUUCUGUGUCCAUUGUGAGGCGUUUCUUUUCACAAGGUUUUUUUUUCAGCCGAUCCAGCUGGCCGGAAUGAAUAGCGGUGCAAUGUGUACACGCUUUGUCCCUCCGGCCUUCAAGUAGCCCCCAUUGAAUAGACUAAGUUGACACUGCGUGACAGUGAAACAACAUAAUAAAAAAUACAUGAGCCCCUGAAUAGGAGCAGGCGCAUAAAUAAAUAAAAUGGGUGACCAAAACUGGAUAAACUGAAUGACAAAACGGUGAAAGGGGAACAAAAAGAUAUUUAACACGCUAGAUUAGCAUUAGAAUGCGAUCUACAAGGCAGAACAAUUGAUGAAUAGGUUUACCGGCCAAGAAAGAAAUGGACUAAAUGCCCUUUGAAUAGAUAUGCUUUUUGCAAGGGUUUUGAAUAGAUAUGCUUUUUUUUUUGCAAGGACUGAAUGGGAAAAGGUAAAGAUGAAGCUAUGCAAAUGAGCGGGGGAACUUUUAAUAUAUAUUCUUUAAACACACACACACACACUGCGGGAGGAGAGUGCCGCCUCGGGGUGUUUAUAGAAGCAAUAAUUGCCAUUAUUAGCAUUGUCUGCAACAGAUAGAAAUUGAACAGGUUGGGAUAAUAUAGGGUAGCAGUAAUUAUUCUUCUAAUUAAUGGUCCUUUGCUACUUUUAAAAAAGAAAAAAGGAAAGAAGUAAAAGUUAUGCAGAAGUUAUGUUUCCUGUGUCCCUUCGCCCAGCGUUGGAAUCCAUGGAGUGGCAAGUCUGGCCAUUCCAAGAUGCAUGCUGAUUUUAGAACAUUCCAGGGAGCCAAUCCUUAGACUCAGGGUUUGGGGCCUGCUUUCCAUUUAUACUGCGUUUUUGAGAGUCUCAUACAGCGUCUGGUACAUGGUAGGUGCUGAAUGAAUAGUUGCGGAAUGAAUGAACGCAUGUAAGUUUGAUAGAGGAACCCUGGCCUCCUAUGGAUGUCGGGGAGGAGGAAUACCAAGGAUGGCUUUCGCAUUUCACUGCCCCUAACCUCCACCUUAUCUAGGGGAACGGUCCAAAACCUGAAGGGUUUUGUCUUCAGCCUACCUGGGCCGCUGGAAAAGAUGUGAAGACCAAACAAGUGACGAGCAACUACUGCCCCCCCCCCAUUCCUCACUCUGUCCUCACCUCCAAAUCCGCCCCAAAGCUUGUGAGGAGUCCCAUCUGGCUGCGUAGAACAUUGGACCCACCCCCUUAAAGAAUUAGAAUACACUUAAAGCUUAGCUCUUUCUCGCGGGCUUCUCCCCUUGGCUCCUACCCCCCCUUUCCCCUCCUGGCUUGUAAGCCUUUGACUGAACCCCACGCAACAGGGAACCUCCUGCCUGAAUUGCUGGCGGAGGCAGGGCGCGAACCCGCGGAGAUCUGCGCUGUCCUCAGGCUCCCUUCGCUGCCCCGGGGGCAGGCGUCGGUAACCUUGUCAGUUGUUUUAUGUUCAAUGGUUGACCGCCAAGCCUGCCCGGCUGCUGGGCCACCCAGCCGUCGAACUUUCCAGCGGCUUUCAGCGCUGCGCAAACUUAAAUGAAUAAUGCAAAUUAUAGACGGCCCAGCUGACACGUCCCUGCGAACGCGCGUAGGUUCAGAGGGCGCUCUGAGCAGCAGCUCUCCCGACCUCCCCGACGGCCGGCGGGAAGCUGGGUUCUGAGAAGCAGUGACAACUGCUUCUGAAUUGUUGAGACAAAAGGGGGGGGGGUGUCCCGAACUUUAA
Molecule: RNA transcript, 2489 nt
Organism: Balaenoptera musculus (blue whale)
Lineage: Eukaryota; Metazoa; Chordata; Mammalia; Artiodactyla; Balaenopteridae
Gene: SOX21
Gene name: SRY-box transcription factor 21
Exons: 2
Source: RefSeq, a predicted model, not a curated record